Long non-coding RNA from Zingiber officinale, 228 nucleotides. RefSeq lists it as uncharacterized. NCBI's taxonomy places the organism in Eukaryota, Viridiplantae, Streptophyta, Magnoliopsida, Zingiberales, Zingiberaceae. The transcript is spliced from 3 exons. The record is from RefSeq and is a predicted model, not a curated record.
UCAAUGUUAUAUUUUCAUUUGUCCAGGUACCAUUGGAUUCUGACUAUAAUUAAUGAAGAUAAGAAUAUGAUAUAUUUAUUGGACUCUUUGAGUAAUAGGAACCGAGAUCAUGCUUGGCAAACUAUUGUGACCAAUGGGGUCAAGUUAUACAAUGCAUCAAAGGGUAUUUCAAAAGGACCUGGUUUUAAACAAUUGACGGGUAAUCUAAAACAAAAAGGUGGUGUUGAA